CGGGUGCACUGAUCCGGCCGGGCCUUUCCCUCUGUGGAACCCCAUGGCCUUCACUGGCUGUGCGGGGGAAACAGGACUUUUACUGUGAAAAAAUUAGAGUGCUCCAGGCAGGCCUAUGCUCGAAUACAUUAGCAUGGAAUAAUAGAAUAGGACGCGUGGUUCUAUUUUGUUGGUUUCUAGGACCGCCGUAAUGAUUAAUAGGGACAGUCGGGGGCAUCAGUAUUCAAUUGUCAGAGGUGAAAUUCUUGGAUCUAUUGAAGACUAACUACUGCGAAAGCAUUUGCCAAGGAUGUUUUCAUUGAUAAGGAACGAAAGUUAGGGGAUCGAAGACGAUCAGAUACCGUCGUAGUCUUAACUAUAAACUAUGCCGACUAGGGAUCGGACGAUGUUAUUUCUUGACGCGUUCGGCACCUUUCGAGAAAUCAAAGUGCUUGGGCUCCAGGGGGAGUAUGGUCGCAAGGCUGAAACUUAAAGAAAUUGACGGAAGGGCACCACCAGGGGUGGAACCUGCGGCUUAAUUUGACUCAACACGGGGAAACUCACCAGGUCCAGACACAAUGAGGAUUGACAGAUUGAGAGCUCUUUCUUGAUUUUGUGGGUGGUGGUGCAUGGCCGUUCUUAGUUGGUGGAGUGAUUUGUCUGCUUAAUUGCGAUAACGAACGAGACCUUAACCUGCUAAAUAGCCCGUACUGCUCUGGCAGUUCGCCGGCUUCUUAGAGGGACUAUCGG
This 729-nucleotide ribosomal RNA is filed under the name uncultured eukaryote. Its description in RNAcentral is "SSU rRNA". It matches the Rfam family "Eukaryotic small subunit ribosomal RNA", at positions 670 to 1426 of the family's 1831-position model. The record is from RNAcentral.